CGCUUCUUCUAGGGGCCGGGGUGAGCGGGAGUCGCCAGCUCCCGCAGGACGGCGGCGGCGGCGUGGGCCGGGGACAACCGGGUCGGGCAUCUCACAGGUCGCACGCGUGCGCCCCUGGAAGAGGCAGGAACCGCACCCGAGCCCCCACGUCGUGGUGGGAGGGGGCGCGGACAGAAAGGAAAGGAAGAGACUGUGGAAGCCAGGUAUGGCCAAGACAGCUUCAGACCUGAGAAACGCCCGAACUUUCCAGCUGGGGAAGCGGCAGGCGGCUCCUUCCACUCCCAGGCCUGGGAGUCCGGGAGAGGGGCUGGGUUGGGUUGGGGUGUGGGGGGAGCAAGAAGACCUAGCGGCCAGACGGAGGUUCCGAGGCUGCCAAGUGGUUGCAGUCUCCAGGCCUGGCUGCAUGGCGAGGCGUCUGAACACGCAGGGGAUGCCAAGCCUUCCAGAUGAAGAGUGGAUCACAGUGCCAACCAUGUGGACGUGGAUCUCCCCCAGAUGGGCUUCAGCACAUCUGGCCCAUCUGUAGCAUUUUCUCCAUCCAGGUGUUCACUUGGCAAGAAACUCCUAAUUCAGAAACCCUUCCAGCAAGGGGAUAAGUUUUUCUAAGCAGCAAGUGACUACAAACACAUCUGCAUUGACAAGUCACAACUUAUAUCCUUCUAUGGUGUUUCUGCUCUUUUGAAAAUGUUAAUAAAAACUUAAUGUGGAAAAAAAACA
RNAcentral lists this long non-coding RNA (717 nucleotides) under Canis lupus dingo (dingo). Its description in RNAcentral is "lncRNA (ENSCAFG00020013799.1)". Lineage: Eukaryota; Metazoa; Chordata; Mammalia; Carnivora; Canidae. The record is from RNAcentral.